Molecule: small nucleolar RNA, 133 nt
Filed under: Moschus moschiferus (Siberian musk deer)
Lineage: Eukaryota; Metazoa; Chordata; Mammalia; Artiodactyla; Moschidae
Description: Small nucleolar RNA SNORA70 (ENSMMSG00000002951.1)
Rfam family: Small nucleolar RNA SNORA70
About the family: snoRNA U70 seems to be exclusive to mammals and is a member of the H/ACA class of snoRNA which contain H (ANANNA) and ACA box motifs. H/ACA box snoRNAs are involved in the conversion of uridines to pseudouridines (5-ribosyluracil) a constituent of structural RNAs (transfer, ribosomal, small nuclear, and small nucleolar).
Source: Rfam by way of RNAcentral
ACGAAGGAAGCAAGCCAACUGUGCUAUUUUCCCCCUGGGAUCCCAGUGUGCAAUGGCUGCAAAUAGCAGCCUCCUUGGUAGUGUAUACAGCCUUUUGCUUGCAUGAGUUGCCCUAAGGAACUUGAAUACAGCC